This 211-nucleotide long non-coding RNA is filed under the name Lathyrus oleraceus (garden pea). RNAcentral's name for it is "Pisum sativum (pea) long non-coding RNA (PSAT_LNC000767)". The record is from RNAcentral. Lineage: Eukaryota; Viridiplantae; Streptophyta; Magnoliopsida; Fabales; Fabaceae.
AAGAGAAGCCCAAGCCAAAGGACCAAAAUCCGGCCCAGCCAAAUUUUGCCUUGUGGCGCCCUCCAUAGGCCCUGUGGCGCCCGCCACAGUGUCUGUAAAUGGUCGGGGCAGAACCCCUUUCUUCACCAUUUUCACACCUUACAACCUUCCAAACCCAUUUUUUCACCUUUGAAAAACAUCCUUGAACCCACAAAAAGCUCAUACUUUUCUA